RNAcentral lists this ribosomal RNA (301 nucleotides) under uncultured bacterium. RNAcentral describes it as "partial 16S ribosomal RNA". It matches the Rfam family "Bacterial small subunit ribosomal RNA", at positions 509 to 809 of the family's 1533-position model. The record is from RNAcentral.
CAGUCGCCGCGGUAAUACGUAGGUGGCAAGCGUUGUCCGGAAUUAUCGGGCGUAAAGGGCCCGCAGGCGGUUUCUUAAGUCUGAUGUGAAAGCCCCCGGCUCAACCGGGGAGGGUCAUUGGAAACUGGGAAACUUGAGUGCAGAAGAGGAGAGUGGAAUUCCACGUGUAGCGGUGAAAUGCGUAGAGAUGUGGAGGAACACCAGUGGCGAAGGCGACUCUCUGGUCUGUAACUGACGCUGAGGAGCGAAAGCGUGGGGAGCGAACAGGAUUAGAUACCCCUGUAGUCACUGUCUCUUAUAA